GUGCCAGCAGCCGCGGUAAUACAGAGGGUGCAAGCGUUAAUCGGAAUUACUGGGCGUAAAGCGCGCGUAGGUGGUUUGUUAAGUUGAAUGUGAAAUCCCCGGGCUCAACCUGGGAACUGCAUCCAAAACUGGCGAGCUAGAGUAUGGUAGAGGGUGGUGGAAUUUCCUGUGUAGCGGUGAAAUGCGUAGAUAUAGGAAGGAACACCAGUGGCGAAGGCGACCACCUGGACUGAUACUGACACUGAGGUGCGAAAGCGUGGGGAGCAAACAGG
Molecule: ribosomal RNA, 272 nt
Filed under: uncultured prokaryote
Description: partial 16S ribosomal RNA
Rfam family: Bacterial small subunit ribosomal RNA
Source: RNAcentral